RNAcentral lists this long non-coding RNA (1795 nucleotides) under Cicer arietinum (chickpea). RNAcentral describes it as "long non-coding RNA (CARI_LNC003308)". The record is from RNAcentral. Lineage: Eukaryota; Viridiplantae; Streptophyta; Magnoliopsida; Fabales; Fabaceae.
UCAUCGAAAACUUCUUGUCAACACUUCACAAAUACAUGGUCAUUAUAUUAUUAACAAAUGUUACAUAUGCUAAUGAAUUACUAUUAUUUAUUCCCUCUAGUCAAUAUUAUAAGCAAAAAUAAAAUAAAAUAAAACUUACAUCGAUUGUAAACAAAAAACAACAACUUUUGAAUCAUUUAAUGCUACUUUUAUUAAUACACCUUUCAUUGAUUUCAAAGUAUUUAACAUUGAUAAUCGAAUGUUUAACAUUUAAAAAUGCUAAUUUAUAAAAUUUGACCUGUAUUUUACAUAAAAACUAAAAAAUUAACUACAGUUCACAACAUUUUUUUAAUACCUGUGAACGUUUUUUUCUUCUUAUAAUAAUGACCCAAGGGAGUAGGUUUCAUCUAUUAAGGAAGAAGUUUGUUUGGGGAUCUAAAUAUGUGGUUCUCAAACUCCAGCCCAAUUUUUCACUUGCAAGAGAUAAAAGACUUGCAUAAUUGUAAGCAAAUAGGUAUUACAUCUUUUUGUCUCAAAGUGACCUUAGGCUUGCUUACCAACCAUUGCGAACCAAUUUGUACUCUCUUUUGUGUUUCAAUUUCCAUUAGAAAAAAAAUAAGACACAACCACCUCUUCAAAUCUAUCUAUGUCUAUAUCUAUAAUAUUAUAAUAUUAUAUGAUUUAUAUUUUUUUUGGCAAGUUUGCCAUUUGUCAUCUAUUGAAAGACACAGGAUUAUAUUAAGUUUCUAUUAUUAUUAUUAGUAGUAAUAUGUAAUUAAUUAACUAGUGUGGAUACCCAUACAUUGCAAGGAGUUUUUGAUUGACGUCUAUAUAAUAAAAAUAAAAAAUUACAUAUUAAAAAUUUAUAUGAUAAAAAUGACGUGAAAAUAUUUGCUAUGAAAUAUGAGUUUCAUUCUCUUAAAAAUGAGAAGGUUAAAAUAAAAAUAAUGACCAAAAUAAUAAUUUGAAUCACAAAAAUCAAAAAUAUAAUUUGAAUUGCUUACAAGACAAAUAAGUAUAUAACUUGUUGCCAAAAAAAUUAUAAUUGUCAAACAAUCCUUGUCUACACUUCACAAAUUUAUGAUCUUUAUAUUAUUGAUACAAAUGUAACUUAUGCUAAUUAGUUACUAUUAUGUAUUCCAUCUAAUCAUUAUUAUAAACAAAAGUUAAAUAAAUAAAAAAAUUAAAUGUACGACUAUAUAACUGGUAUUUACAGUUUUGAAAUGUGUGAUAAUGUUCUUAGUAGUACAAAUGAAGUGUAAAUUCUAGUGUUUUUUUUUUUUUUUUUGAUAAAUAGUUGAUAAAGUUGAAAGUGUGACAUAAAGCAAAUGUCAUGCACUAUAUUUUUAGUGAGUAUAAGGGAGGGGAGGUGGGUGUUUUUUCAAAACUAUAGAGGGGUGUUAGUGUUAUUUUAAGGUGAUUUCGAAUGAAGUAAAUACAAUUUCUCUUACACAAAAUAUAUCUACUUUUGGAUCAUUUAAUGCUCUUUUAUUAACACACUCUUCGUUUAUUUCAAAAUAUUUAACAUUGAUAGUUGAAUGUAUAAUAUUUAAAAAGGACAAUUUAAUAAAUUUGACUUAUAUUUUACAUGAAAUUUAGAAAAUUAACUACAAUUAACUACAUUUCUUAAUACAGGUAAAUUUUUUUCUUCUUCUCUUAUAAUAGUGACAAGAGGGAAGAGGGAGUAUGUUUCAUCUUGUAAGAUAGAAUUUUUUUGAGAAUCUAGAUACGUGAUUCUCAAACUUCAACCCCAUUUUUCACUUGCAAGACAUUAAAGGCUGGCAUAAUUUCAAGCAAAUAGGUAUUACAUCUUUUU